RNAcentral lists this ribosomal RNA (684 nucleotides) under Salmonella enterica. Its description in RNAcentral is "bacterial SSU rRNA". It matches the Rfam family "Bacterial small subunit ribosomal RNA", at positions 1 to 674 of the family's 1533-position model. Lineage: Bacteria; Pseudomonadati; Pseudomonadota; Gammaproteobacteria; Enterobacterales; Enterobacteriaceae. The record is from RNAcentral.
AAAUUGAAGAGUUUGAUCAUGGCUCAGAUUGAACGCUGGCGGCAGGCCUAACACAUGCAAGUCGAACGGUAACAGGAAGCAGCUUGCUGCUUUGCUGACGAGUGGCGGACGGGUGAGUAAUGUCUGGGAAACUGCCUGAUGGAGGGGGAUAACUACUGGAAACGGUGGCUAAUACCGCAUAACGUCGCAAGACCAAAGAGGGGGACCUUCGGGCCUCUUGCCAUCAGAUGUGCCCAGAUGGGAUUAGCUAGUUGGUGAGGUAACGGCUCACCAAGGCGACGAUCCCUAGCUGGUCUGAGAGGAUGACCAGCCACACUGGAACUGAGACACGGUCCAGACUCCUACGGGAGGCAGCAGUGGGGAAUAUUGCACAAUGGGCGCAAGCCUGAUGCAGCCAUGCCGCGUGUAUGAAGAAGGCCUUAGGGUUGUAAAGUACUUUCAGCGGGGAGGAAGGUGUUGUGGUUAAUAACCGCAGCAAUUGACGUUACCCGCAGAAGAAGCACCGGCUAACUCCGUGCCAGCAGCCGCGGUAAUACGGAGGGUGCAAGCGUUAAUCGGAAUUACUGGGCGUAAAGCGCACGCAGGCGGUCUGUCAAGUCGGAUGUGAAAUCCCCGGGCUCAACCUGGGAACUGCAUUCGAAACUGGCAGGCUUGAGUCUUGUAGAGGGGGGUAGAAUUCCAGGU